This 564-nucleotide ribosomal RNA is filed under the name Polaribacter sp. RNAcentral's name for it is "bacterial SSU rRNA". It matches the Rfam family "Bacterial small subunit ribosomal RNA", at positions 355 to 922 of the family's 1533-position model. The record is from RNAcentral. Lineage: Bacteria; Pseudomonadati; Bacteroidota; Flavobacteriia; Flavobacteriales; Flavobacteriaceae.
GUGAGGAUAUUGGGCAUGGAGGUAACUCUGACCCAGCCAUGCCGCGUGCAGGAAGACUGCCCUAUGGGUUGUAAACUGCUUUUAUACAGGAAGAAACACUGGUAUGUAUACCAGCUUGACGGUACUGUAAGAAUAAGGACCGGCUAACUCCGUGCCAGCAGCCGCGGUAAUACGGAGGGUCCGAGCGUUAUCCGGAAUCAUUGGGUUUAAAGGGUCCGCAGGCGGUCAAUUAAGUCAGAGGUGAAAUCCCAUAGCUCAACUAUGGAACUGCCUUUGAUACUGGUUGACUUGAGUCAUAUGGAAGUAGAUAGAAUGUGUAGUGUAGCGGUGAAAUGCAUAGAUAUUACACAGAAUACCGAUUGCGAAGGCAGUCUACUACGUAUGUACUGACGCUGAGGGACGAAAGCGUGGGGAGCGAACAGGAUUAGAUACCCUGGUAGUCCACGCCGUAAACGAUGGAUACUAGUUGUUGGGCAUUAGCUCAGUGACUAAGCGAAAGUGAUAAGUAUCCCACCUGGGGAGUACGGUCGCAAGACUGAAACUCAAAGGAAUUGACGGGGCCCC